UCCUUUCUGUUUCAGUUUCAGAAGUUCCUGGAGAACAAAACCCUGCACAGUGAGGAUGAGGUGACUUGCCUUUCGUGGCAGGAUGUUUCAUCUCACAAACCAUGGGAGGGCAGAACCACCUCCAUCAGACCACAAGACACUUGCUCCAGUACAGCCACGCUGCCCUUGGAAGGAUGUGUGAAGAGGGGGAAAGGAGCACAGCAGAUUUGUAAAGCAAACACAGGCACAGAGAUACAAUUGAAACUGAAGUAACAUUUCUACCCAGUCUGGCAGGCACCAAUGCUCAGGAGAUGCACUCAGAUGCCCACAAAUGCACUUAGAUAUUGCACUAGGGAAGAAGGCAGGACUCAGUGUGGUAUCAUGGAGGACCCAUGGAGGAACAAUGGAACUCCAGGCUCAGAACUGAAUUUUUUGGAACUACCUGAAGUCACUAUAUUUGGAAAGACUCUUGAGCCAUAUGUGGUGGUCAGGGACUCCUUGGCUGAGGAAACCUUAGAA
This is a long non-coding RNA of Strigops habroptila (Kakapo), 498 nucleotides long. RefSeq lists it as uncharacterized. The record is from RefSeq and is a predicted model, not a curated record. The transcript has 3 exons. Lineage: Eukaryota; Metazoa; Chordata; Aves; Psittaciformes; Psittacidae.